UACGUAGGGUGCAAGCGUUGUCCGGAAUUAUUGAGCGUAAAGAGCUCGUAGGCGGUUUGUUGCGUCGGCUGUGAAAUCCCGAGGCUCAACCUCGGGUCUGCAGUCGAUACGAGCAAACUAGAGUGUUGCAGGGGAGACUGGAAUUCCUGGUGUAGCGGUGAAAUGCGCAGAUAUCAGGAGGAACACCGGUGGCGAAGGCGGGUCUCUGGGCAACAACUGACGCUGAGGAGCGAAAGCGUGGGGAGCGAACAGG
RNAcentral lists this ribosomal RNA (253 nucleotides) under uncultured bacterium. RNAcentral describes it as "partial 16S ribosomal RNA". It matches the Rfam family "Bacterial small subunit ribosomal RNA", at positions 524 to 776 of the family's 1533-position model. The record is from RNAcentral.